CCCGCAUCCCGGCAAAGAGUGGAUCGACUGAUCACCCCCCCCCCCCGCGAGCAUCUGUAGGUGAAGUCAGUUUCGCCAGCUACAUGGUCCUACACGCAGGGGUGUCAAACUGGCGGCCCGGGGGCCACAUGUGACCCUCCAAAGGAUUACAUGCGUCCCGCCCACCACUGUGCUGAGACACAUCUGCCACUGAGACCGGUCCCCUCUUGACCAUUGGCCCCCAGGUCAUUUGAGUUCGACACCCCUGCCCUACAGUGUAGUGAUACAAGGACAACCAGAGCUUCUCACAUCUUGACUAUUGCAGGCUCUCAGACAGGCAGAGAAGGAGUUGGAGACUCGUCCUCUCUGGUGUCCUCCAGAGACACUG
Long non-coding RNA from Solea solea (common sole), 367 nucleotides. RefSeq lists it as uncharacterized. The transcript has 4 exons. The record is from RefSeq and is a predicted model, not a curated record. NCBI's taxonomy places the organism in Eukaryota, Metazoa, Chordata, Actinopteri, Pleuronectiformes, Soleidae.